Molecule: ribosomal RNA, 424 nt
Filed under: uncultured bacterium
Lineage: Bacteria
Description: bacterial SSU rRNA
Rfam family: Bacterial small subunit ribosomal RNA
Source: RNAcentral
UAGGGAAUAUUGGACAAUGGGCGCAAGCCUGAUCCAGCAAUGCCGCGUGAGUGAAGAAGGCCCUAGGGUUGUAAAGCUCUUUCGGCGGGGACGAUGAUGACGGUACCCGCAGAAGAAGCCCCGGCUAACUCCGUGCCAGCAGCCGCGGUAAUACGGAGGGGGCAAGCGUUGUUCGGAGUCACUGGGCGUAAAGGGCGCGUAGGCGGUGCAUCAAGUCAGGCGUGAAAGCCCCGGGCUUAACCUGGGAAUUGCGCUUGAUACUGAUGCGCUAGAGAGCGGGAGAGGAUGGCGGAAUUCCCAGUGUAGAGGUGAAAUUCGUAGAUAUUGGGAAGAACACCGGUGGCGAAGGCGGCCAUCUGGACCGUUUCUGACGCUGAGGCGCGAAAGCGUGGGGAGCAAACAGGAUUAGAUACCCCCGUAGUCC